UCAUCUAUGCAAUGGGAAUAACAACUUCAGAUUUUGGUAAGGAUUCAGAGACUUCAGGGACUGCAGAGAACAAAGCCUGGGACCACGUCACACCCAUACUCACAGGUCGCUGCAAAGAUCUUAUCACUUCAUAGGGCUCCUCGGGUUGUUAUGGCAACCCUGAAGGGUAGUCAGGACAUCUCGUUCCCAGUUCACAAAUGAGAAAGUAAAGCGUACAGAGGUGGCUCAGAGAGAACGUGCUGGGGCUGCAGCUUCUUCAUGACGUCCCAGUGACUGGAGCCCUGCACCACAGUCUGCAGGAAAUGCCUCUAAACCCCAGUCAUUAACAGACCUGGGACAUAUAUUCCUUUCUCUCAAAAUUAAGUCCUAAGAUCCUUAGCCUUCGUCCUGACUUAAAACAUUAUCCCCUGCUGACAGCGCAAGACAAAGUCUGACCCUCCAAAGCAAACUGGAUGCAUCAGUGAGAAGGGGUGAAACAAUGGCUAGCCAGAUGCCUUCCAUGUCAAAGCCACUUUCUAGCUUCAUCAAGCAGGGUCUCCCAGGUGCCUCUGCUUACGUACAUGAAGAAAGAUAGCUUCUGGAUGACUGGCUUGAGAAGAUGAAAAUGGAUCCCAGGAUCAGACGCUUUACUGGAAAGAAGACCUAGGAAUCAUUCUGGUUUGAUGUCUGCAUUGCAUAUACAAGUUGGAAAACUAGAGUAUGCAAGUUCUCCGAACAUAUUAAAGGCAGAGGAGGGACGUGGCUCCAACUCCCCUCAGCCUCAGGGUUUUUUUUCCUGAUACGUGAUGCUAUCUCUCAAACGUGGAUUGUUACUUUCACCUUAAAACCAAUGCCAGGUUUUGUAUUCAUGUCUAUACUCUCACAAGAAAUUUACACUACAUUUUUUUUUUUUAGCAAAUAGGCAGGAUAUUCAUUUCUAUGAUAGAUAAUCCAAUAUCAUUCCCACUUCACUUGUCAGAACAUAAAAUGCAACAGACAUGUUGCUGUAUUUUCCCCUUUUGAGCAUUAAAGCUGUUGGAGAGUCAUAUUUUCCAUGAGUAAAGUUAGAAAAAUUUAGGCUAUAGCCAGUCCAAAAAUAUGCCUCAGUUCUGAAAAAGAAAAAAAUCAUGUCAGACAAUAGUAAAUAUAAUAUUGGAUCAAUUCAAUUCAUUUAAAUCCACAUAUUCUGGAUGUAUCCCAAAAUAAGCCUCUUAGUAAUUUGUCUUCCCUGAGUUGUUCUCCAUAAAACUGAUUACUGUGCUGUGCUUUUCUCUAGAUGAAUAUUUAUGUCUGAUACAUAUUUUGGUUUCUUGCAUUAUUUUUCUUAGGUUCUCAGCUAAACGUUCCAAAUAAUAUAGUCAUUAUUAGAAAAACAAUAAAAUCUUUAUAUAUUGGCAUUCUUCCUCUAGGUUAGUGGCUUAUAAAUAAUUAUGUUGGUUUAAUACCUAUUUACCAAUUCUCUUAAUUUCCUAAGAUGCCUGUCAUCCUGAUAUGCUUAUUUGUGUAUUUUCAAAUGGGUCUCUGUCUCUGGCUAGAUCAAUAAACUGUUGUCACAAAGACAUCUCUGCUUCCUUAUUGUCUGAGACACUUCAAUAUCUUCCCCAUCAAGGAUAAAUUUAAAUUGUAAAUUGUAUAGAUCUUUAUCACUGCCAUUUUAGUCUUCCAAUUUGUAUUUUUCCUGAUUCACUAAUGGGCACAACACAACAAAAUUUAUUAUGUGUGUAUCAUCCUUUUUCAGUUUAUUAACUAUUUGGAAAAGUCCUUGUUUCCUUUAAAGAAUUCCUUUCCCUCUGUUAGGAUGACUCACUAUA
Long non-coding RNA from Hyaena hyaena (striped hyena), 1790 nucleotides. RefSeq lists it as uncharacterized. Lineage: Eukaryota; Metazoa; Chordata; Mammalia; Carnivora; Hyaenidae. The record is from RefSeq and is a predicted model, not a curated record. The transcript has 3 exons.